GUGAGUGGAGGGUAUCUGGAACGGGAUCUAGAUCGGGGGAGAGGAAGGGGGCAGGCUAGGGUUUCCGAGAUUAGAACCGGGUGAGGGAAGUCUGAUCAUGAUUCCCGUGAAAUGAAAUGACUAUGGUCCAAUCACAAUGCAAAUGAAAUGACUAUGGUCCAAUCAGAAUGUAUUAUGCGUGUGCGAUGUUAUGAUCAUUUAAAAUUGGUUGAUUAAAAAAAAG
RNAcentral lists this long non-coding RNA (223 nucleotides) under Hordeum vulgare. RNAcentral's name for it is "long non-coding RNA (HVUL_LNC004108)". Lineage: Eukaryota; Viridiplantae; Streptophyta; Magnoliopsida; Poales; Poaceae. The record is from RNAcentral.